This 2264-nucleotide long non-coding RNA is filed under the name Piliocolobus tephrosceles (Ugandan red Colobus). Its description in RNAcentral is "lncRNA (ENSPTEG00000016572.1)". The record is from RNAcentral. Lineage: Eukaryota; Metazoa; Chordata; Mammalia; Primates; Cercopithecidae.
UACUACACUACAAUACAAUAUACUACAAUACAAUAUACUACAAUACAAUAUACUACAAUGCAAUACAAUACAGUACAAAGCAGAACAACAAAACACAACAGAUACAUUUUUACAAAUCCUUUUUGACACCGAAUAAGCUAUCUAUUUAUAUUUUAAUAAAUUUACACUUUUUUUUAUGCUUUUUAUUUUAUUAAUCCGCAUUACAUAAGCUAUUCAAAUUUAUUUCUAUUUUUUUAUUUUUAAUUGAACAAAUAAGCAUAUUCAUAAAAUAUGUACAUACAUACACAUAUAUAUAUAUAUAUAUAUAUGUAUGUAUAUAUAGCAAAUAAAAUGAUUGAUUAAAUACUUUAAGAUAGUUCUAUAACUAUAACUUACUUUUUUUUGUGUAAUUAAUAAAAAAAAUAAAAUAUAUGUAUGCAUGAUUUUACAACUUCGUUUUUCACACAUUUAUUUUAAUUGUAAAUUAUAUACAUGUUAACACACAAAACAUCCCAAAUGACACCAGUGUGUUAGUUUUGCUCAACCAUUGUUAUUAUAUUUAUAUACAAAUAAGCUGUAACGAAAAAAAAAAAAAAAAAAAAAAAAAAAAAUGUGUACAUAUAUACAUACAUAUUUUGUGUACUUCUUAAGCUCCAAAUAGGUAUUUUUCUAUUUAUAAUAUACGAAUUAUAAAUGAAACUAUCAUAUUUUUAAAAAAAGUUUCUGUUGUCUUUUAUUUGUAUGACAAUACUAAAUAUAUAAAUUUUAAUUUUAUUCAAGACAGAAAAAACUUUAUUGCUUCUUAUAUUUUUACUUUUUAUUAAUAAAUAUUAACACUGGAAAAAUAAGAAAAAAAAAUGAAUAAAAAUGAUGCAAACAAUUUUUUAUGCCACUUUGACUUUUCUUCAUUAGAAGAAUUAAAUCCGUCACUGGUUGAUGGUUAUUAUAUAUAUUACAGUAAGGAAGUACCAUGCGAAAUACGAAAACAAACGUCAGAACAUUUUUCACAAGAAGUUGGAGUAUUUGAAACUCUAAAUGUACAAAUUUUUGUUUUAGGAGAAGAAUUCAAUGCUAAGAGUGUAAAGAUUGAGUUAACAAGUGAAACCAAUCUAUUUUUUCACUUCACUCAAACGUUUUUAGCAAUAUUUACCAAAAAAAUAAAUGGGAUGGGUCAAUUAAAUUUUGUAAAGAACAUGCAAUACAAAUUCAUUGAUCUCCUGGUAUGCGAUUUUAUUGAGUCCAACGAAGAUACAAUUAAAGAAAGUAUUACAUAUAGAUAUAAUGUCAGUAAAUCUAAAAAUUCUAUUAUGAAUAAAAGGCUUCAAGAUAUAAGCCUUUUAAUUAAGUCUAAAAACCCAUCCCUUUUAAUGCAACUUCAAAAAACAGCCAUGAAACAACUGGAUAUGAUCAAUAAUAAAAACAAUACAAAAAAUAUCUGUAAUCAAAAAUGGAUAUAGUAAGUGAAUAAUUCUGGCUUUUUUUUUUUAUCACAAGAUAUCACUUCAUGAUAAGAAAAAAGGGUAUAUACGCAUAGGUAUGUACGUACUUUUAUAUAUCUACAUAUAUGUAAGUAUGUACCUACAUACAUUUUUUUGUGCUCAUACAAUAUAACUGAAAUUGUUAAUACAUUUUUAAAAUGGUAAUUUUUUGACAUGGUAAUUUUUUGACAUGGUAAUUUUUUGACAUGNNNNNNNNNNUAAUUUUUUGACAUGGUAAUUUUUUGACAUGGUAAUUUUUUGACAUGAUAAUUUUUUGACAUGGUAAUUUUUUAACAUGGUAAUUUUAUUUAUGUUCAAUUUGUGAUUUUAUUUAUUUUUUUAUUAUUUUUAGUUUUGUUUCAAUCAAUGUUUAUAACUUUUUUGAAAUAUCUCAAAAAAAAAAAAUAUAUAUAUAUGUACAAAAAUAACCUUUACAUGAAAAUAAUGUGAUUGUAAAAAAAAAAAAAAAAAAAAGCGCUUUAUAGUUGAUAGUAAGGUUAUAAUAACAUUAAAAGGGUAUUACAACGCUUGGGUGCUUUUUUUUUUUAUCUUUUUAAGAAUAAUGUAAUGUUGUUUUACUAUUUUAAAUAUAAACAUAUAUUUUAUUUGCAUUUAUUGACAUGCCACUUUGCAUUUGUAUAAUUACGUAUAAGGGUAUGCAAAUUUCAUAUGGUUUAGUGUCCUAUUGUUAAAUGUCAUUUUUUUUUUUUUUAAUUUUAUAAUGCUUCAUAAAAAAAAAAAAAAAAAAAUAUAUAAUACAUAAAUAUAAUAUGAAUAAAUGAACACAAGUUUGUAAAUAUAAAAACA